Molecule: long non-coding RNA, 285 nt
Organism: Oncorhynchus masou masou (cherry salmon)
Lineage: Eukaryota; Metazoa; Chordata; Actinopteri; Salmoniformes; Salmonidae
Exons: 3
Source: RefSeq, a predicted model, not a curated record
GGAAGAUAUGAUCAGAGGUCUCCAGGUAAGGUAUAACUGGCCACAAACAGGCGAGGGGUUUAUCCUCCUUCGGCCCUGUCAGUGAAGCAAGAGGAAGGCCUUAAAAUAUAUUAUGGACACUUACCACGCUGUGCAUUGGUCCGAUCUCUCAUACUCCUCAUCAGAGGAAGAAGAAAACCGUUACAAUCUCUUCAUGUUUGAUGUGAUUUCAUUGCACCUUUUUUUGACUGAGACACUGUGAGAGGAGCACUGACUUGUCUUCUGAAUAAAUCAUUAUCAGACUGU